GAUGAACGCUGGCGGCGUGCCUAAUACAUGCAAGUCGAGCGAACGGACGAGAAGCUUGCUUUUCUGAUGUUAGCGGCGGACGGGUGAGCAACACGUGGAUAACCUACCUAUAAGACUGGGAUAACUUCGGGAAACCGGAGCUAAUACCGGAUAAUAUUUUGAACCGCAUGGUUCAAAAGUGAAAGACGGUCUUGCUGUCACUUAUAGAUGGAUCCGCGCUGCAUUAGCUAGUUGGUAAGGUAACGGCUUACCAAGGCAACGAUGCAUAGCCGACCUGAGAGGGUGAUCGGCCACACUGGAACUGAGACACGGUCCAGGCUCCUACGGGAGGCAGCAGUAGGGAAUCUUCCGCAAUGGGCGAAAGCCUGACGGAGCAACGCCGCGUGAGUGAUGAAGGUCUUCGGAUCGUAAAACUCUGUUAUUAGGGAAGAACAUAUGUGUAAGUAACUGUGCACAUCUUGACGUUACCUAAUCAGAAAGCCACGGCUAACUACGUG
RNAcentral lists this ribosomal RNA (497 nucleotides) under uncultured bacterium. RNAcentral describes it as "partial 16S ribosomal RNA". It matches the Rfam family "Bacterial small subunit ribosomal RNA", at positions 28 to 507 of the family's 1533-position model. The record is from RNAcentral.